RNAcentral lists this unclassified non-coding RNA (322 nucleotides) under Hevea brasiliensis (rubber tree). Lineage: Eukaryota; Viridiplantae; Streptophyta; Magnoliopsida; Malpighiales; Euphorbiaceae. The record is from RNAcentral.
GUUUGGUCCUGUUAUUUUUUUGUAUUCACAGUUGCAGAAGGGUAAUGCUGUUGUGUCUAUGGAUAAGUUCGACUUGGAAAUGAUUAUAUUGAGAGGGUACAGGGUGACGUAUUUAUGGAUUGUUUCUCAGAUGUUUUAGCAUUCACAAAGAAUCCUAUGGUGAAUCAUAAUUUAACUUCAUUGAAGCAUGUUGGAUCUGGUGCUGCACCUUUAAGGAAGGAAUUUGAUGGAUGAAUGCAUCCUUGCAGUGUUGUUGUUUACGGAUAUGGUAUAACAGAAACCUGUGAGAUUGUCUCAUCGGUGAGAAUCAAUAUGUAGGCUG